GCAUAUCAAUAAGCGGAGGAAAAGAAACCAACAGGGAUUGCCUCAGUAACGGCGAGUGAAGCGGCAACAGCUCAAAUUUGAAAUCUGGCCUCACGGUCCGAGUUGUAAUUUGUAGAGGAUGUUUCGAGCAUGGUCCGGCCUAAGUGUCUUGGAACAGGACGUCAUAGAGGGUGAGAACCCCGUAUGCGGUCGGGUGCCUACGCUCAUGUGAAACUCCUUCGACGAGUCGAGUUGUUUGGGAAUGCAGCUCAAAAUGGGUGGUAAAUUUCAUCUAAAGCUAAAUAUUGGCCAGAGACCGAUAGCGCACAAGUAGAGUGAUCGAAAGAUGAAAAGCACUUUGGAAAGAGAGUUAAACAGUACGUGAAAUUGUUGAAAGGGAAGCGCUUGCAACCAGACUUGGGCGCGGCCGAUCAUCCGGUGUUCUCACCGGUGCACUCGGUCGCGUGCAGGCCAGCAUCGGUUCUGGUGGCUGGAUAAAGGCCCUAGGAAUGUGGCUCCUCUCGGGGAGUGUUAUAGCCUAGGGUGCAAUGCAGCCUACCGGGACCGAGGACCGCGCUUCGGCUAGGAUGCUGGCGUAAUGGUUGUAAGUGACCCGUCUUGAAACACGGACCAAGGAGUCUAACAUCUAUGCGAGUGUUUGGGUGUCAAACCCAUACGCGUAAUGAAAGUGAACGGAGGUGAGAACCCUUAAGGGUGCAUCAUCGACCGAUCCUGAUGUCUUCGGAUGGAUUUGAGUAUGAGCAUAGCUGUUGGGACCCGAAAGAUGGUGAACUAUGCCUGACUAGGGUGAAGCCAGAGGAAACUCUGGUGGAGGCUCGCAGCGGUUCUGACGUGCAAAUCGAUCGUCAAAUUUGGGCAUAGGGGCGAAAGACUAAUCGAACCAUCUAGUAGCUGGUUCCUGCCGAAGUU
Molecule: ribosomal RNA, 909 nt
Filed under: Bettsia alvei
Lineage: Eukaryota; Fungi; Ascomycota; Leotiomycetes
Description: LSU rRNA
Rfam family: Eukaryotic large subunit ribosomal RNA
Source: RNAcentral